Molecule: non-coding RNA, 226 nt
Organism: Pelobates cultripes (western spadefoot toad)
Lineage: Eukaryota; Metazoa; Chordata; Amphibia; Anura; Pelobatidae
Source: the annotation of a GenBank genome assembly
GAAGGCACUUAGCAGGGCUGGCGCUUGGACAGCGCCAGCCCUGCAUUAGCCGACAGGGGAGAGGGAGAACCUCAGAUUCUCGGGGGGGGGGCAAUUGCCCCUGUUGCCACCCCCCUGGAUCCGCCAGUGGAGCUAUCUCACAGAUAUACGCGAUACUGGUCACUAGCAGAUACUUACUAGCACCCCCAUGCAUUAGGAACUGGGAGGAGGACCUGGACGAGACAAU